This is a long non-coding RNA of Oncorhynchus nerka (sockeye salmon), 491 nucleotides long. RefSeq lists it as uncharacterized. The transcript is spliced from 3 exons. The record is from RefSeq and is a predicted model, not a curated record. NCBI's taxonomy places the organism in Eukaryota, Metazoa, Chordata, Actinopteri, Salmoniformes, Salmonidae.
UGUUAACAUUGUCUAAUGGAAUCUAGGAUCCCCGACAUUUACGCAGCUUUUACGCGAUUUACCCGAUCUGGAACAUGAUGGGGGUUCGCAGGAGCAAAAGUCUGGCAGACAAUCACCAACGGCCUUUUUUCGUUCCGACAUACAGCCCUUUAUGAUAAAGGAUGCGUUAUGGCCAGCUGACACGCAGGACUUUGAUGCAAUUCUACCGUUCUGUACGAGCGCUUUUUCAAACUCACCGCGAAUCCAGGGAACAUCGACCCCCUCCCGACAUAUUCAAGACCCCAACAGGCAACGAUCAACUGUGGCCCAAGUACACUGCUCCGAAUCAAGCCCACCCGAAAACUACUGUUGGGCCGGGAACUUGCUGCUUCACGAGCCGGCGCUCCAGGGACAAGACUACCCGGAGACAGAUCCAGCAGAAUCGGGAAAGCUAGAGGGAAAAAGUCACACACCCCCGGUUUCGGCGAUUCGUCACAACAAGCGCCAAAAAA